This 492-nucleotide ribosomal RNA is filed under the name uncultured bacterium. RNAcentral describes it as "partial 16S ribosomal RNA". It matches the Rfam family "Bacterial small subunit ribosomal RNA", at positions 29 to 507 of the family's 1533-position model. The record is from RNAcentral.
AGUGAACGCUGGCGGUAGGCCUAACACAUGCAAGUCGAACGGCAGCACAGUAAGAGCUUGCUCUUACGGGUGGCGAGUGGCGGACGGGUGAGGAAUACAUCGGAAUCUACUUUUUCGUGGGGGAUAACGUAGGGAAACUUACGCUAAUACCGCAUACGACCUACGGGUGAAAGCAGGGGAUCUUCGGACCUUGCGCGAUUGAAUGAGCCGAUGUCGGAUUAGCUAGUUGGCGGGGUAAAGGCCCACCAAGGCGACGAUCCGUAGCUUGUCUGAGAGGAUGAUCAGCCACACUGGAACUGAGACACGGUCCAUACUCCUACGGGAGGCACCAGUGGGGAAUAUUGGACAAUGGGCGCAAGCCUGAUCCAGCCAUACCGCGUGGGUGAAGAAGGCCUUCGGGUUGUAAAGCCCUUUUGUUGGGAAAGAAAAGCAGCAGGUUAAUACCCCGCUGUUCUGACGGUACCCAAAGAAUAAGCACCGGCUAACUUCGUG